RNAcentral lists this ribosomal RNA (468 nucleotides) under uncultured bacterium. RNAcentral describes it as "partial 16S ribosomal RNA". It matches the Rfam family "Bacterial small subunit ribosomal RNA", at positions 28 to 507 of the family's 1533-position model. The record is from RNAcentral.
GACGAACGCUGGCGGCGUGCUUAACACAUGCAAGUCGAACGGAAAGGCCCUGCUUUUGUGGGGUGCUCGAGUGGCGAACGGGUGAGUAACACGUGAGUAACCUGCCCUUGACUUUGGGAUAACUUCAGGAAACUGGGGCUAAUACCGGAUAGGAGCUCCUGCUGCAUGGUGGGGGUUGGAAAGUUUCGGCGGUUGGGGAUGGACUCGCGGCUUAUCAGCUUGUUGGUGGGGUAGUGGCUUACCAAGGCUUUGACGGGUAGCCGGCCUGAGAGGGUGACCGGCCACAUUGGGACUGAGAUACGGCCCAGACUCCUACGGGAGGCAGCAGUGGGGAAUAUUGCGCAAUGGGCGGAAGCCUGAUGCAGCAACGCCGCGUGCGGGAUGGCGGCCUUCGGGUUGUAAACCGCUUUCGCCUGUGACGAAGCGUGAGUGACGGUAAUGGGUAAAGAAGCACCGGCUAACUACGUG